This is an RNA transcript of Orcinus orca (killer whale), 13474 nucleotides long. It is a transcript of the gene named TatD DNase domain containing 2, with no coding region annotated. Lineage: Eukaryota; Metazoa; Chordata; Mammalia; Artiodactyla; Delphinidae. The record is from RefSeq and is a predicted model, not a curated record. The transcript has 19 exons.
CCCGUCCGGCUGCAGACCUCACUGCUCAUUCCGGUAGGCGGGCGCAGCGGCGGCCGGUGUGGUCAGAACUCGGGCGGAGGCAGGGCCGGUGCCGCAGGACUGGGGCGGGCGGCGAGCGGGCGGCGAGCGGGCGGCCAGGGCAGGGCGUCAGUCCGGUGCAGACUGCGGGGCCGACUUUCGGGCCGCGGGAGCAGGAACGGAAGGCGGGGCGGGGCGGACCGGGGAGGAGGCGGACUGGGGCGCCACCGGCUUCUGAGGGGCGGCUCGCCCCCUUCCGGCCCGGGGCUGGUCGGCGGGGCCGCGGGGGCAGGGCGGGCUGCGUGUCGGGUCUGGCCCUGCUCUGCGGCCCGCGCUCGGCGUUUCGGGCCUCCGGGCCCCUCCGGGCCGCGCGUCCGCCCAGGGACUGCGGGUCUGGCCUCCAGGUGUGGACCUAGCAGCGCCCUGUAGCCUUCUUAAGCGCUGACAUCUGCGAAGGGCUUUGUAUUGUAAACUCAGUCAGAGCGCGUCGUAGUCCCGGAAGCGCUUUGACAUCCCCGAAGUAGCGCUGUGCAAACUGAAGCGCUUGGUAAUCGCGGAAGCACGUUGUGGGCUCGGAAACCAAAUCGAACGAAGCCUUUGGUAAAUCCUGGGACCUUCUGGACUUCUCCGAAGCGCUUUGGAAUCGCAGACAUUCGAAGCGCUUUGACAUCUCUGAAACCUUGAGCACUGUGAUGGGCAGUGGAAAGAAGGGGGAAAGGUGCCCAUGGCGUCGGAGAGGCGCAAGGUCAAGUACCACUGGAGCAGCCCUUCGGAGCGGAGUUCCCGCAAGCGCAGCUGCCUCCGGGAGCCCAGUGAUGUGGCCCCCUCCAGCCGGCCAGCUCACAGCUCUGUGUCGCGUUCUGGAGGGGCCAGCAGCCCCAAGCGCAUGAAAACCCAGAAGGAGCAUGGUGUGUCCUGGGGCUCAUCCCGCCGCAGAAGUUCCUCCUCCUCCUCCCAUUCCUCUGGCCCAGGUGUGGGUGGGGCCGUCUCCAAAGGAGGCCUGAAUCAGAGCUCAGGAGAGUUCCUUUCGUCAGGGGGAUCCCCUCUGUGCCCUGCCAGACCUUCUCUAGAAGAAAUGGCUUCUCUCCAGGAGGAAGCCUGCAGCCUUAAGGUUGAUUCCAAAGAUAGUUCUCGUAACCCCAUGGAUUCUGAAUUUGCAGCUGAAGCUGAGGUUCAAAAUGACAUAAUUGAGGAACCAAACAAGGUCCAGAAAAGGCAGAGGGAUAGACUUCGAGACCAAGGCUCUACCAUGAUCUACCUAAAGGCCAUCCAGGGCAUCCUGGGAAAGUCGAUGCCAAAAAGGAAGGGAGAGGCUGCCAUGAAGGCAAAACCCAACACGGCAGAGCGCGCCAGCCACGGAGAGGGGCCAGCCAGGAGUGUCACCACGUGUGCUCCUCAGAAAGAGAAAAAGUCUGCCCCAGAGGUCAGAGCGGAGGAGGAGAAGGAUGUGCCAGAGAAGAGCAGCUUCUGGGACAGGAGAGUGGUGAUAGACCCUCAGGAGAAACCCAGCGAGGAGCCCCUAGGUGGCCGAAGGACGGUCAUUGACAAGCGCUGUCCAGUCCUGGAGUUUUUGGAUGACUCUGACUCGCACGUAAAUGGCCAGAAACCUAAAGACCGGGAGGUGGUGAUGGAGCGCACCUCUUCAGGAAGUGACUGGUCCGACGUGGACGAGAUUUCCACAGUCAGAUUCUCUCAGGAGGAGCCCAUAUCCCUGAAACCCUCAGCGGUUCCAGAGCCUUCUCACUUCCCCACGGAUUACGUCAUGUACCCGGCUCACUUGUACAGCAGUCCCUGGUGUGACUACGCCAGCUACUGGACCAGCGGUCCCAAGACCCCCGGCUACCACUCCGUGGGCAGUGGCGGCAGCGACACGGUGCAGGUGGAGAGGAGCGGCCAGGGCUCUUCCCCCCACUCAACGGUGAGCCCCCAGCACAACUCCAGAGAGCCCCAGUCCGCUGAGGAAGGCAGAUCCCGCAAGUCGCGUUCAUCUCGUUUCUCCAGAAGCUCGGAAGAAGAAGAGGUGAAGGAGAAAAGAACAUUCCGGGAGGACAUGCCACCACGUCCGUGUGGAGGACCCGCAUCUAGCUCCCUGCCCAGGAGCCGUCGGGAGCCCAGGUUGGAGGGUUUCAUCGACACCCAUUGUCACUUGGACAUGCUCUAUUCCAAGCUGUCGUUCAAAGGGAGCUUCACAAAGUUCAGGAAAAUUUACAGCAGCUCCUUCCCUAAGGAGUUUCAGGGCUGCAUCUCCGACUUCUGCGAUCCUCGCACACUGACAGAUGGCCUCUGGGAGGACCUGUUGAAAGAAGAUCUGGUGUGGGGGGCCUUUGGCUGUCACCCCCAUUUUGCACGUUACUACAAUGAGAGUCAAGAAAGAAAUCUUCUGCAGGCCUUAAGGCACCCCAAGGCCGUGGCAUUUGGGGAGAUGGGCUUGGAUUACUCUCACAAGUGCACCACGCCUGUCCCGGAGCAGCACAAGGUGUUUGAGAGGCAGCUGCAGCUGGCCGUGUCUCUCAGGAAACCCUUGGUGAUCCACUGCCGAGAAGCUGAUGACGAUCUGCUGAAAAUCAUGAAGAGAUUUGUGCCUCCGGACUACAAGGUUCACAGGCAUUGCUUCACCGGCAGCUACCCAGUCAUUGAGCCCCUGUUGAAGUACUUUCCCAACAUGUCCGUGGGCUUCACAGCGGUCCUGACAUACUCCUCUGCCUGGGAGGCCCGGGACUCUCUGAAACAGAUCCCGCUGGAGAGGAUCAUCGUGGAAACUGAUGCUCCCUAUUUCCUGCCUCGACAGGUUCCCAAGAGCCUUUGCCAGUACGCCCACCCAGGCCUGGCCUUGCACACGGUUCGAGAGAUUGCCAGGGUCAAAGACCUGCCACUCGCCCGCACCUUGGCCACCCUGCGUGAGAACACCUGCCGCCUCUACAGUCUUUAAGCAGAGAGGGUGCCGUCAGGAGUCUCCCAGAAAAGGAUGACCAGCGGCCUGACAGGAGAAAGGCCGUGUGAGCUCUGCCUGUGUGUCCCUGCUCGAGGAUGUUUGAGAGCCCGCUGGGAUGGAGGACACCCGGACAGGACGUUUCCUGAGACCUCGUCGGAGGCUUCCGCUUCAGGCUGGUUGGGGGUGGGGCCGGCGUGCGGGGGGCUGGCGAGGGGUUCGGGCUGGCCUCCCGGCUGCAGUGCUCCAGGGCAGCCUGGGAAGAAGAGGAGGCUGAUGUGAGGGCACAGCGAGCUUGCCCGCCCAGUGCCUGCCUCCGCAGCUUGUGGUGCGAGCAGUCUGUGAAUAAAGUCACACUGCUCCUCAGCUAAGUGCACGUAGGCGUGUAGCUUGGUUCCUGGUUCUCCACUGUCAACACGAACCCCCAGUGGGAGAUCUCCUCUGGGGGACAUUUGCCAGAGACCUGUGUUAGAGGCUGAUGCUCCUGCGGCCAGAGAAGGCAGCCCCUCCCUUCCCUGCGUGACUCUUCAGUCUGGCUCUCACUGUUGCUGCGUCAGCUCUGAGUUGGCACUGGUGGAAGGACCUUGGCUGCUGGUCUCACUGGUUCCACUGCCAUCAGUAUGGAGGGGCCAAAGGGGUGCUCAUGGUCCAGGGAAAGUCCUGGCCGAGGAACAUCUGGACAGACUGGGGGACUUGAGGAGGAGGAAGCCUGCUUGAGGAAGACGACCCCGAGGAAGGUGAUCCCACUUACCGAGGUCCCCAGGGCUGCAGCUCAGUUGUGUUAAACUGACAGGGUCCAGUCUGCAGCAGAUGCUGUCUGCUAGUCUGCUGUCGGGGUUCCAGCUGCCCUGUGCUCCACUCUGCCCCCUUCUCCUGGAGCACUGGACCAAAAAUACUUCUGUUUCAUCUCAUGUAACAGCCCCUUGUGUGCCCCAUCCAGGUCGAGAGGUAAACCAAUUUAAUUUUCCAAAGCUCUGCUGGCACUGCCCAGCCCUGUUCUAUUGCCUAUGCAGAACAAGAGGCCUGGUGUCCAUGGAUCUCCCGUUCCCCGUCCUGGGGCUCUCCCUUGCCUUGGCCUCUGCUGCGUCCUUUCUCCGUGGUGAAAGUGAGAGCCACUCCUUGGACUUUGAACAGCCAGGUCAUCUCAAGUUCUGAGCUGUGCUCUGCUCCCUGCUGGUGCCUUCUAAAGGUGUGUUCAUUACAGGCCCUGGAAGGUUAUGACGGUCAAGAGUUAAGAGUGAGGAUGCUCUGCAUUUGGGACAGAAGGAUCUUUUAUUCCAACCUUCCUCAGUGCGACAGGCCACUCUGAGUCCCUUGUCUGUUUCUUGGAGGCCAAUAGCUGAAAUCGUAAGAUCCAGUGCUUAUGUUGGAUGCCUCUAGGUGUUUGUGGAAGGUGCUUUUGAACCUCGUAACCUGCAAGGGAAUGGACUUUGCAUUUCAUAUAUGGUAUUUCCCUCUUGCCCCGGUACCUAAGUUGCUGGCCUGGGAAGUAGGCCUUAAUUCAGUGUCGACCUUCCAUGGAUCAGCUGUGUGUCAUCUGUGCCGCAGAUUUGGCAAAUCCGGGGCCUUGUUCUCCUGCUUGGAAGAUUUGGAGGACUAAGGAUUUCACAGUGCUUUGUUGUCACCCAAUGAACUGUCCCUUAUCCAUCUCUUUCACAGCAAGGCCUGUACAUCACAACUGCCUCCGAAGGAAACCAACCGGGCCUGUGUUCAAGGACUAAGAGUGAUAACUCAGUGGAUGUCUCUGAGCCAUUGCAGUCUCCCUGCCAAAGUAAAGCACAAGGUGCUAUAUACUUUUAUCUCCAGGAUUUAGGAUUAUCAUUUCUGUUGCACAGUGAAACAUUACCUGUGUGGGAGUGAAAGCUGGUUGGCAUUGUUUUUGGAUGGCUGACUUGAUUGUUUCUGCUGUGUUGCCGGAAUGCCUCUGUAUCUCUGCCCCCUCGCUCCCUUUGACCAUCUCUUUCUGAAAAUAAAGUGAUGGAUCUUCAGCCAACUCCCAUGGUCUCCAUGUUCGUUUAUAUUUCUCAGAGUGUUAACGAUGGUUUAGUUGUUGACUAGCUUUGUAACCUAAGAAUCCAAAGGUCUGGAGACUUUCAAAAAUGUACCUGUGCCUCAGCAAAAUUCAACUGGAAAGGGCUUCCCUGGUGGCGCAGUGGUUAAGAAUCCGCCUGCCAAUGCAGGAGACACGGGUUUGAACCCUGGUCUGGGAAGAUCCCACAUGCCACAGAGCAACUAAGCCCAUGCACCACAACUACUGAAGCCUUUGCUCUAGAGCCUGCAAGCCACAACUGCUGAGCCCGUGUGCCACAACUACUGAAGCCCGUGCACCUAGAGCCCGUGCUCUGCAACAAGAGAAGCCACCGCAAUGAGAAGCCUGUGCACCGCAACGAAGAGUAGCCCCCUCUCGCUGCAACUAGAGAGAAGCCUGCACGCAGCAACGAAGACCCAGUGCGGCCAAAAAUAAAUUAAAAAAAAAAAAAAAAAAGAUUUGCUAAAAAGAAAAUUCAACUGAAAAGAAGAAUCCCUGGUACCUUCUUAAAAGUUCUGCCUUUGAGCAUUAACUCUCAUUUUACUGCCUGGAAACACCCAGAUACACUGCUGCUUCUUAGCAGUGAAAAAUACAUAGACACCUUUGUUCCAGAGCAACGCAGUAGGAGGAAGAAAAAUUGAGUACACGAGGGUGUUGUUGAUGACUCGGUUGUACUGUGGGCUUUGGACUGUGAACUCUGAUGCUGCUGGGUAAACUUUGGAGGAAAUUCUGUUUCACUGCUUGCAGUCAGUCUUCCAGUUUUGUCCUAAGGUAUCCUUGAACACAAGUAAGUGCUCAAGCCCAAAGUAAACCCGUCAAAAGGGAGGCUCUGUUCCAAGAAUGGUAAAGAAAUUUGGAAUCUGUUGAUGCCUCAUGUCAGAUGCACAGUCAUUGGUUUGCCUAUUUCCAGCACAUUACUCACUGUCUCAGCUCUGUCCCAGCUGGACAUAUGGCAGCUAUGUCCACUGGACACAGUGAUAGUCUCUUUGUGGCUGGAAAUCUGCUCUUGGCUUUUCUCGUGUUUUACAUCUCUCUGUAUUAAGUUUGGGACCAAUAGUAAUCAUUUACCGUGAACACUUUCAUUUUUGCCUCAGGCAUUUCUGUAAGAUCAGGGCAAAGGGCCACUGAAGUGUACGGUGCUUGAAUAAAGUGUCCAGGAUGGCAGCAGAACUGUCAGUCAGUGGCCAGGCAGCCCUGUGCUCCCUGAAAAUGCUCAUUUGUCGAUGAUGUUUGGAAGUGGAUUCAGACUAAAGGAAGGUAGCCAAGCAUGGAUCUCUAUUAUUCUGUCUGUACACCGUCGUAAGAGAAUUUCUUACCCCUCUGUAAGUGUGUAAGAUGUUAAACACGGGCUUCCCUGGUGGCACAGUGGUUAAGAAUCCGCCUGCCAAUGCAGGGGACAUGGGUUUGAUCCCUGGCCUGGGAAGAUACCAUAUGCCACGGAGCAACUAAGCCCGUGCUCCACAACUAAUGAGCCUGCAAGCCACAACUAUGGAGCCCGAGUGCCACAACUGCUGAAGCCUGUGUGCCUAGAGCCCGUGCUCUGCAACAAGAGAAGCCACGACAAUGAGAAGCCCUCGCACAGCAACGAAGAGUAGACCCCGCUCGCCACAACUAGAGAAAGCCCACGCACAGCAACGAAGACCCAACACAGCCAAAAAUUAAAACAAAUAAAUUAAUUAAACAAAAGUUAAAUACAUGAGCUGUUAUACUAAUGUACUGGGUAUAUUAUAAAAUAAAGUUUUUUAUAAGGAGGGUUUUUUUUUCCUGCAGCAAAUAUCUUUCUCAGCCCAGGGGUAUAUACAGCUGCUUCAGAGAACCGGAAGUUAGUGGUAUUGGGAAGUGGCACGUGCAGGAACAGGUCCAAGAAGGCCGACGUGGGACCAGGUUUGAAAUGCUACGUUUUCUCAAGUGACGGAGGUGGUGUGUUGUAAUGGGGGGAGCGCUGGCCUCAGAAUAUGGACCGUGUGAUUUGGGCACAUCCUCUAAAAGCUGGGGGCCCUGGAACCAAUCCCCCGCAGGCGGACUCACAUUGGGACUCCGAGGAAACUGGAGAAAGGACUUACCGCUGGCGUCUUCCCAAAGGACGUCCUGAAGAAACUUCCCCAGGGUCUGGCCGUGCUGGUGGGACUGAGCCCCUGACAGCUUGAUCCCAACGUCAAAGGGGGCGCUGAACUAGGAGGACCCAGGAGUUGUCAGAGGUCACACCCUCCCUAAAUGCUCAUUUCGCCUCCACCCCUGUGGCUCAUGCGGGUGGUUGGAUGACCCCAGCCGACUUCGCAGCACCACGAGCACCAAGCUGGGGACCUGCUGGGCUGGUUUGCACCCUGGAACUGGCGACGGGCAACUGACGGGAGGUGCAGCAGCUGUUGGAUAGGGGUGCGGCUUUGAGCGACUUGAAAAGGUGCCUUAGUGUCUCAUGUGAUCAGAACUUGGCCUCGAAAGCUUCCAGCUCUGAAACUUGAUUGAUUUCAGGAAAACUUUUGGAGGGGCUGUAGGGGCCUGGGAUGAGUGAGGUGGGACCCCGGCCCUGGAGGGGUUCGGUGGGCACAGCCAGAGCUCUGCGGCCUGUGUCACAGGCCUCCCACCUGCCUCUGGCGUCUCACCACCUCCGACAUUUCAGACUCCUGGUUCUAGCGGAGGCAGGGCCUGCCGUUUGCUCUGUGGAAACUGGAAACGUCCAGCCGUGAGUCAUCAGCCACUGGAACCUCUUCCCCGCCUGGGCUAACUUAGGGCGUCUCUGGCCCCGCUGGACCUGGCAGUCUCACCGGGAAAGUUCCCUGGUUUUAGUCUAAGGAUUUGCAGGCUGAUGAGUGGGAACGUGGCGGGUGGGGUCCCACACGUGGUGGAGGAGGCGCCUGGCGAGGGUCAGAGGGCGAGGGUUGGGGAUUUGACCCCUGAGGGGAGGAGAGGCUGGGGGUAGGUGGAGGGAGGCCAAGGCAGGGCAGAGGAGACUUCCUGGGCCACCUGCUCGCUCUCUGCCAGACCGGUGAUGGGGACACAGGGCUUGGGGACUGGAGCUCCCCAGACUGUGGGUCCCACUUCUUCCCCAUGCAGGGCUCUGGCCCCUCAGCCCAGUGAGCUCCCUGGGCUGAGCCUCGGUUCCUCACCUCUAAAUGAGGGCACAGAAACCAGCCCCACUGACUUCACAGGCGGUUGUAGAGGUUAAGUGCGAAGCAGGAGGGUAAAGCAGCCGGAGAGUGAGACCGCAGUCACUAGCAGUAGUUACUAGGCACCACCCGGGGAUUCUGGUUUCCCUGCGUGCGGGGAUCUGUCCUCACCUAAACUCUUGUCAGAACCAUUCCCCGGACCGCGGCUGCCUGGCAGGGGUAACUAUAAAACGCCUUCACGCUUUCUCUCUCCUAGUCCUCCGUUUGUCUCUAAACGGCUCCCCUACCCCGUGAACUAUUCAUCAAAGCUCAAGCAAGCCUGAUGAGCCCCAUCCUCGUCUACAGGUGGGGUUUGGUGAGAGCUGGGCUCACCGCUCACCUGUCCAGGCCGCCGCCUGGUAAGAUUGGGUAAGGUAAGGUCCGAGGGGCCCCUGAGUCGAUCAGAAAGUUUUCUGCAGGAAACGCCUCCAGUCUGUGACCAGCUCUUCCUUCCUGAGUGUCUGUUUGCUGGCUCCCCUCUGAGAUCACCUGGCAUCUGCUGGCGCCCCCUCUCCCCUCUGCUUGAGGCUCAUCCUAAUACAGCAAAGUUGCUUAGAUGUUUGCCUGUUGAUCGGCAAAGCCCAUCUCAACAGAGCCCAGUGGUGCAGAGUCCACUGUUUUUGUGCUGUUUAAUGUUCCUUGAGUGGCUGGUAAGUGAGUCCCUGUGGAUGGCCGCCUCUCCACGGCCUCCCCUGCCCCAUCCCCUCCACUGCAGAAAGCAUAAAGCUGCAGAGGGACCCACCUGGAUUUCCAGCUCGUCCCCUGUGCCUUCCGCCUGACUUCUGACGUCUGCGUCAAGCCAGCCUUCCAGGGCCCGGGGCUUUGGUUUGGCUGACGGCUUCUUAGAUUCCUUUCUCUGCUGGAAAGAGGAGGUGUUCUCCUUAGGGCCCUAAGCCUCCCUGUCCUUCCAGAAGCAGAGUGAGGUGUGGGCCCAUGGUCAGACCCAGAGUCCUCCUUUGUGCUCUGGGAGAAGAAGGCUGAAGCGCAGAGAGGGUGAGCCACUGCCCAGCUCACGCAGCUCACGGCAGGGCUGCAGUGAGAUUCCCCAGUCAGAGCGCAGGCCUCGUGGGGGGACGUCUCACCUGCACUUUCUGGUGUUCGGGGCUCAGGAAGCUGGAGCCCGCCAUGGCCAAGUCCACCCAGAGCACACUGAAGAGCAGCAGGCUGCAGACGGUCCCUGGGGAGGGCAUGGCCUCGGCCGGCUGGGGACAGAUGGGCCUGGCGGAGAGAGCAUCUCUGGGCAGCAUGCGCCCCCAUUCCAUCCCCUCUUUUCCCCCCGCUUCCCUCCCUGUGCCUCUGAGCCCAGCAGACAGGCUGAAGGGCUCUGACCUGGACCUGGGGCCAUGAUUGCUGAGUAGAGCGCCUCUUAGCGCCCUCUCUGCCCGCCUCCCCCAGGCCCCGAGGACCUUGUGCCAAGUUUCUCGAGGAUGUUUGAGGAAGCUGAAUUGGCAAGGUCCCAGGGGACAUGGGGGCCCUGGGGUGGCUCCCAAGCCCAGCUCUGAGCAACCAGGCUGCCCCAGGUCAUGCCACCUCCCCGAGUUCAGAUGGGCCUGCGGAUGCCCGGCAGUGGAGCCAGGUUCUGAGAGGGAGCAGAGUGCCCUGGGGGCAGGAGAGCCGGGACCUGGUGCUGCCACAGCCUUUGCCACGUCAGAUGUUCGCGGACGAAGAGCGCAUCAACCACGUGGGGGAUUCCUUACGUGCCCGCAGCGGCUCAUCCCACAGGAUGCCCAGGUGGUGACUCCUAAGGGCUUGGGUCCUAUUUUUUCUGCUACUGAAAGAGGAGUGUUGAGAUCUCCAGCUGGAAUUGUAACUGGCUUCAGUUCUGACUCGACCCAGUGCUCUUUGUAUCGUGAGGCUGUUGCACUCUGGUUUUUGGGAACGUGAACUACUCGCCCUCUGUUGAGUUCCAGGAAUUGCUUGGCCCACUGCUCUUUGGUCACGAGAGUUUCACCCUUCCCGUAAGCAGGGAUUCUGCUGCUGAAAAAUGGACAAAGAACAGGCAGAAGAGGGGUUCACACUUAGCUGUGCACAGAACCUCCUGCAGUGAGCGGCGUGACCUUUCAUUGGUGUGUGCGCACAUAAAGGCCUGGCGAGAGCUCCACUCCUCAAUUACGGCUGAGGAGCCCCAGCAGCAGGUCGCGGAUUCCAGCCUUGAGAGUUCUGAGCUGAGACAGAUCAGGAUGCCAAUGGUGGCUUUAGCACCUGGUGGUGGACGGCCCAGGGCAGCUCUUGACCUUCUUGCCAGUUUCCUCACCAGUCUCAGCUACUGCCAUGACCUGCUGUUUCAGUUCUGGGUCCCAGGGCCUCCCCUUGGAUGUGAUCCUUGUUUCAGUGUCGGUGAGCUGCUCCUUCCACUGACUGGGCAGAAAACCAGGUGAAUUGUGCCUGCUUUCCUCUUCAGUCUUGUAAACUCUUGGGAUAUGGUUGAUACUCCCCUGUAUGUGCAGGGCAGACUUUAUUAGCCUCAGGAUAAGUAGCAGAGCUGGGGGCUGCGGUCCCAUCCCUGAAGGCCAAGUGUAGCUUUGUAUGGUGCCUUCAGCAUAGACUGAGUCACAAGGACUUACAGAGUGACAGAUCAGCUCUGUGGGCAGGACUCAGCUAGGCCCAUAGGUACCUGGGUCUUGGUAAUGCUGUUCUAGGACACUAACCAGCAAGAGGUAAAACGAGCUUUGUAAGGAGGGGUUAGAAGAAUGCAGGAAGAAUUAUAAGCAAUACAAGUUUAUUUAAUUACUUUGGAAACAAUUCCCCACCCCCCCAAAUGAUGUCUGAACCUAAAAGGUACAUAAAAAUGACCAACAAUAUCUUAAAAUGAUAGAGCUGACGCUUGUUUUUCCCUCAGAACAAGUGUGUGUUCAGGUGGACAGUAAAUUACAAACCAUAUCAAAUCAUGUUAAGGCAGAUGAUAAUCUGGGUGCAUUUCUUAACGACUCCCAGGAAAGUGAUCUUGUGGGAGCUGGGUGUUCUUCCUCCCAGCUGUGUGGUCAGUUGGCCCACGAAGGGGCAGUCCUGGAGGCAGCAGGGUAGAGAGCAGGCUGUGCCUGUCUUGUCACUGCUCGUUCUGCUGACCCUCUGUGACUGAAGUGGACACAGAACCCUGGCCCUUGUUGACAUCACUGAUGCACACCCACUGCCCGUCAACCGACUCCUUCCACAGGGUCACCUGCAAGCCAGCACACACAUCGUUACAGGUAUGUAUCCCUGCCCUUACCUCCCUGGGUUCUCUAAAGAGGGCAAAGAUCUCCAGCAAGAACUACAGCUCACAGUCUUGUGGGUAAAGAGAGCACUUACUUUGGUUCCCCCCACUGAAAUCCCACCAAAAUGGAAGUAAAGGAAAAAGUAUCCACACAGAGUAAGAAAGGAGGAGUAUGGAGAGUGAUGUCAUAAAGAUGGUGACACAACUUGUUCACAGCUUCUUUCCCUCAAAAGAAGAACUAACAGCUAUUCAUAGAGACACAGCACUGAACAAAUCCUACAACACAGCAGUGAGGCUGAAGUGUCCUGCACUAUGGACACUGAGACCGACUCUGUUUGAAGGAUCGCAGCUGAAUCUGUGAGGCCCAGCUGCUGAGAAUCGGAUUGUGACCAGAGGGCUUCCAACAACCAGCACUCAGAUCUCCACAGCCUGAGUCCCUACCUGCAGGGCCCAAGUGAGUCUGUUCUGACAGGGAAGCUGGGGCACAGGUAGGCUACAGUCCAGACCACAAACAAAGCAUUAGUAACCUUAAAACUGCUUCCCUGGAAAGCACACCAGUCCACAGCUGCACUUGCUAUUGAAUACAGCCUUUGGACUGCCCAACCAGUGAAGCCACAUAGCUGGUCAACAACCCUGCUUAAGGUAACACGGGAAUAGAAAGCACUGCCAGUGGCAUUCACUGUCUGCAUAGCAAAUCUGGUGGCCUCACCUGAUGAGGAAUUCAGUGCACACUCUUGACUCUUCAGCUCCCCCUCAAAAUAAGCCAGGCAUUCUCUGAUCCCAUUCUGCUGGGUACUGCCAGGGCAAGGAAGGUAAUUCCAGCCUCACCUACUGCUGAGUCAAGUAGCCAUCCUGACUGUCUAGCAAGCCUGACCAGAGAAUCCAGGCAGCUGUGAAGCCGAUGCUCCAGCCUCACGGGUGCAGGGAAAGAAACCAGCUGUCCUACUACCUGAUCUCAGCCAGUGGCAUAUUCAGAGUGGAAAAAAGUGCCUCAAGCCAAAACAGAACUUAAUAGCAGGUCCUUUCACCCAUAGGAGAGAAAGCCAGAAACCCAAAUUGAGCUGACUAGUGAAGAACUGUAUCUGCACACUUCCAGAGGUACAAUGAAUUCUUCGAAAAAGAAUUCAAAACAGGGCCCACUGUCAAGAAGCCCACUUCCAAUCUCUUGCAUGCCUAUAAACUAACAAUGAAAAAUCAGAGAAAUUAAGCAAAGACUCCCAUUUACCACUCAAACAAAAAGAAUAAAAUACCCAGGAAUAAACCUACCUAAGGAGGCAACAGACCUGUAUGCAGAAAACUAUAAAAGACACUGAUGAAAGAAAUUAAAGAUGAUGAUACAAACAGAUGGAGAGAGAUACCAUGUUCUUGGAUUGGAAGAAUCAACAUUGUAAAAAUGACUAUACUACACAAUCUACAGAUUCAAUGCAAUCCCUAUGAAACUACCAAUGGCAUUUUUCACAGAACUAGAACAAAAAACUUUACAAUUUGUAUGGAAACACAAAACACUCUGAAUAGCCAAAGCAAUCUUAAGAAAAACAGCUGGAGGAAUCAGGCUCCCCAACUUCAAAGUAUACUACAAAGCUACAGUAAGCAAGAGAGUAUGGUACUGGUACAAAAACAGAAAUAUAGAUCAACUGUACAGGAUAGAAAGCCCAGAGAUAAACCCACGCACCUAUGGUCAGCUAAUGUAUGACAAAGGAGGCAAAGGAUGUACAAUGGGGAAAAGACAGUCUCUUCAAUAAGUGGGCUGGGAAAACUGGACAGCUAUAUGUAAAAGAAGGAAAUUAGAACACUUCCUAACACCAUACACAAAAAGAAACUCAAAAUGGAUUAAAGACCUAAAUGUAAGGCCAAACACUAUCAAACUCUUAGAGGAAAACAAGGCAGAACACUCUAUGACAUAAAUCACAGCAAGAUCCUUUCUGACCCACCUCCUAGAGUAAUGGAAAUAAAAACAAACAAUGGGACCUAAUGAAACUUAAGACUUUGCACAGCAAAUCAAACCAUAAACAAGACGAAAAGACAACCCUCAGAAUGGGAGAAAAUAUUUGCAAAUGAAACAGACAAAAGAUUAAUCUCCAAAAUAUACAUGCAGCUCAAGAUCAAGAAAACAACCUAAUCCAAAUAUGGGUGGAAAAGCUAAAUACACAUUUUCCCAA